RNAcentral lists this transfer RNA (79 nucleotides) under Acidobacteriota bacterium. RNAcentral describes it as "Acidobacteria bacterium (activated sludge metagenome) tRNA-Pro". It matches the Rfam family "tRNA". Rfam says of the family: Transfer RNA (tRNA) molecules are approximately 80 nucleotides in length. Their secondary structure includes four short double-helical elements and three loops (D, anti-codon, and T loops). Further hydrogen bonds mediate the characteristic L-shaped molecular structure. tRNAs have two regions of fundamental functional importance: the anti-codon, which is responsible for specific mRNA codon recognition, and the 3' end, to which the tRNAs corresponding amino acid is attached (by aminoacyl-tRNA synthetases). tRNAs cope with the degeneracy of the genetic code in two manners: having more than one tRNA (with a specific anti-codon) for a particular amino acid; and 'wobble' base-pairing, i.e. permitting non-standard base-pairing at the 3rd anti-codon position. Lineage: Bacteria; Pseudomonadati; Acidobacteriota. The record is from RNAcentral.
CGGGGUGUAGCUCAGCCUGCGCCAGAGCGCGUGUUUCGGGUACACGAGGCCAGAGGUUCAAAUCCUCUCACCCCGACCA